Long non-coding RNA from Parus major (Great Tit), 2258 nucleotides. Lineage: Eukaryota; Metazoa; Chordata; Aves; Passeriformes; Paridae. The record is from Ensembl.
UCUCCUUCAUGUGUGUCUCACUUUGUAUUGAAUGAUGUUAAGCAGAGCUGGAGCUGGCGCCUCGGCCUCAUUACCUUCAAUUACAGUAAUUGUUGCCUCUCUCCAGUGUUUUGCAUUUCUCCCUGGGGGAAAUCUCUCUGCUGCUUCUUUUCCAGUCUUGCUCCAGCUUUCUCCUAUCGAUUGGAUCGCUCUGGCCCCGAUUCUAGGAGCGAUGCCUCCAGGAGGAUAAAUGCAAAUCGCCCUAUUGAUUGGGAGGAGUAGGAGUGCAGCUCGUUUGGGGGAGGGAGAAUUCGUUUUAAAUGAAGAAAAAAAGUAAAGUGAUGAGCAUGACAGGAAAUGCUUCACUUUCUGGGCCUCUUAAGUAGUGUCUCUUUAUCAUGUCCUGUGUCUGAGGGGGAUGUAGAUUGGUGCCAUCUGGAUAAUAUAUUACAUGCAUGGAGAGGUGGAUCCCGCGACACAGACACUAGUCUGGUUUCCUACUUAUUUUAGGUGAACAUGUAUCACUGAUCAUUUCUGGAACGCAGCUCCCCUCCUCCAGUUUGAAGGUGACUGAGUUUCACUGGGGACACGCUAAUUGCUGCUGAAAAUGAGCAGGGAGUAAUGUGCAGGCCUCUAUCCACCUCCUUGAACUGCCCAGUUACAGGGGUAAGGCUCCUUGGGAGUUAUUAACCUUGAGGGAACCUGCUCAGCAGCCUGUCUGUCACAGGGGAGCGGCUGGAGGAGCCAGCCUGUGGGCUCUGCACAGCCUUGGAUCCUGAAAUGGCUACUUGCUUCAGUAAAUCCAUGGCCAGACUCACAAGUGGAAAGCCCAAAGAAUUGCACAGUCACGAAAUUGUCAGAAGGGUUACAUCCAAUGAUUUGGAAGAAAUAGUGGUGAGUUGCCAGCACGCCAUGAAAAUUUACAGGAAGGAAAGGCCUGAACCCCUCAUGGCGGCCAUCAUCUCAUGCCCAUGCUGGGACUCUCACGCACAUGGAGAUUCUGGAGAAGGUGAUGGAUGUGAUUUGGCACUUCACUGGAGGGACUCUGACAUUUGGAAGCAGACUCUUGCACGGCUGCACUACUCACAUGCUCCUGAGCCUCUUCUGGAAUAUGACUGUAGAGAAGAGAAGGUGUUGUCCUGAGUUUUUGCUGGCCUGUCAGGAGAAAUGCUGUUCUGGAAUAGUUCAGGACACUAGGUGCUCACCUGAAUUGGUCUUUUAGAAGGAUUCGUCAGUCCUUCCAGAAACUUGGCACUGCAACUGUUGGCUUCUGAAACGAAGUAAAAGAAUCAAACCAUCAUUUAUGUGGCCUGCAAAGACUCGUUGGAUGGAUCUCUUGUUUUAGUUGGCAAUUUCUUCUUAAAGACAAGAUUUCACAUCUGCGACAGAGCUUUGAGCUGAUGCAGAGAAUGUGCUCCUGUGAGAUGCUGCCCAAAGCAGUCCCUUUCCGUGAGAUGCCCAGAGGCUGAUUUUGCAACCAGGUCCUUCUGUUCAUGUUGGCUUCAAAGGCCUUCACGUAUCUGGUGGGAGGGAGCAGCCCUGUGCUCUGCAGGCUCUGACUACAGGCUCUGUAGUCCAUUCAAGUGGAGGCUUUAGGCUGCUCUCCCAUGGCUGCUGGAGACAUGUAAUGCGGCCUCAGGCUCCUGACGCUUUCCUUGAUGGUUCGUUAUAGUCAUUAUCCCACAUUCCUUCUGGUUGCAGAACAUGUUGUUAUUAUUGCUUUGUACUGGGUCUGUCUCCUGUCCCUUUUUUACAGGCCAAUCCGGCCCUAUUAGCUCUUGUCUCUAAAACAAAAGCAAAUUAGCACUGCAGAAGCUGAAUUAUCUUGUUUACGUUAUAGUAUGUCAGGGGACCCCACACAAUCCUUGCAUGUCUCUCUGAGCAGUGUGCCAGAGAGUGAAGAGACACAGUAAGUCGGUCAAACCCUCCUGGCACUCUGACCCAAUCCACAGGUUUCCAAAAGAGUCUUUAGUUGCUUUGGGGAAGCUAAGGCUGGUCAGUGAUCCCUGCUAUCCCUCCCUCAGUUUUGGUAUUUUAUGCAUGCUUGUAGCAUACAGAACUAGAAAUUUUUUUACAGUAAAUUGUACCUCUCAACUCAAACUUGACAGCUGUCAAUGAAAUUUGCUGUUCAAAACUGAUCUCAAGCACAUUGCCCUCUGGUUAGUCUAUCUGUGCUCCCUUGGCCAGGAUGUUUAUAAUACUCAGGGAGUCUCUCAUGUUACUUAGUGCAGUAAUGUGGCUCCAUGAAUAAAAGCCAUUUCCAGUCUGUCGGUACUGCA